CUACGGGAGGCAGCAGUGGGGAAUCUUAGACAAUGGGCGCAAGCCUGAUCUAGCCAUGCCGCGUGAGUGAUGAAGGCCUUAGGGUCGUAAAGCUCUUUCGCUGGGGAAGAUAAUGACGGUACCCAGUAAAGAAACCCCGGCUAACUCCGUGCCAGCAGCCGCGGUAAUACGGAGGGGGUUAGCGUUGUUCGGAAUUACUGGGCGUAAAGCGCGCGUAGGCGGACUGUUAAGUCGGGGGUGAAAUCCCGGGGCUCAACCCCGGAACGGCCUUCGAUACUGGCAGUCUGGAGUUCGAGAGAGGUGAGUGGAAUUCCGAGUGUAGAGGUGAAAUUCGUAGAUAUUCGGAGGAACACCAGUGGCGAAGGCGGCUCACUGGCUCGAUACUGACGCUGAGGUGCGAAAGUGUGGGGAGCAAACAGGAUUAGAUACCCCGGUAGUC
This 439-nucleotide ribosomal RNA is filed under the name uncultured bacterium. RNAcentral's name for it is "partial 16S ribosomal RNA". It matches the Rfam family "Bacterial small subunit ribosomal RNA", at positions 339 to 795 of the family's 1533-position model. The record is from RNAcentral.